This 396-nucleotide ribosomal RNA is filed under the name Triticum aestivum (bread wheat). Its description in RNAcentral is "partial small subunit ribosomal RNA". Lineage: Eukaryota; Viridiplantae; Streptophyta; Magnoliopsida; Poales; Poaceae. The record is from RNAcentral.
AUGGCUCCUACCAAGGCUGAGGAUGAUGUAGAGGAGGGAGAAGAGAAGAAGAAGAGGGAAAGGAAGGCAGCCGGAGCUGCUUUCACGUGGAUUCAAAAUAACUUUGCGACGUGCCCUCCGGAUGCAACUGAUGAUGUGAUCCAGACACAUGCUCGUGUGUAUAUGUGGUACAUUGUGUCGAGGACUUUGUUUCCUGACUCCACUGGCAAGAACGCUCCAUGGAUGUGGCUGAAGGCGUUGACCGUCUUCGAUAGCAAAUGGAGCUGGGGUUCAGCGACUCUUGCCUACUUGUACCGACAGGUAGUUGGUCUGUUUUGUGAUCAACUCAUUUAUUCAUUAGCAAUGCAAGCUUGCUGUCAAGUUAACAUUGUUUUUCUUUCAUAUGUAGCUGGAUGA